Molecule: long non-coding RNA, 809 nt
Organism: Myotis davidii
Lineage: Eukaryota; Metazoa; Chordata; Mammalia; Chiroptera; Vespertilionidae
Exons: 2
Source: RefSeq, a predicted model, not a curated record
CCCACCUGGAAGGAGGAAGUGCUGACGGUUCUUCCAGCCCCAGGUGCCCUGGGUCACCUGCGCCCUUUCAUUAGGAACCUGGGCCCCUGGGACCCAGCUCCCAGUCCCCACUCAGGCAGCUGCCGGGCUCUGGACCCACCAGCCCCACCUGGAGGUGGAGGCACCGACCCUCCCAGGGAGCCGCUGUGGACUUUUUUUUAGAAAAACCACCUCCACUUCUUUCCAGCAAGACGGUUAGUAAAUAUUUCAGCCCCGCGCUUAGCGGACAGCUUCCACGUGUGCUUUCUUGCCACGAGCGUGCUGGCAACGUGCUGGCAAGAGCCCCUUCCUUUUCCGACGUCAGGAAGCCAGACGGACCCUCGUCCGGAGCACUUUCAGCUCAACGUAGCGAGACAGCCCCCCCGGAGCCCAGAGCCCCCAGAGAAGGGGCUGGGAGGGGCCGCUGGGCCCAGGAGGGCACAAGCUGUCUCCAAGCAACAGCACGGGGGGCGGAGGGUGGGGGACUGAGGGGCCCCCGUGUGGAUUUGAGCGCCUCUAGCCUCGGCUGUGCAGGGGCUGCUCCCAGAGGCCGCACCCCAGAGAGGCCGCACCCCAGAGAGGCCAGGAACGGCUGGGGCAGGGCCCACAGUGCUCCUGCCCCCGAGCCAGGCCCCAAGUCAGCAAUAAGAACCAACCCUCAGCUCAGCCUGGGUGGUGCCCUGGGCACGAGACCUAGCACCUGGGGUGCCCGUCUCAGCACCCCUGAACUCUAUUGGCCUGAUUUAUUUAUGUAAUAUAUAAAUCUAUAUAAAAUAGCUAUUUUGCUUACA